GUUUAUCGGCUUUAAAGGGCUGAGCGAGACGAUUCUGCCGGAUUCCUGUGGAUUCGUCCAGUCCAUGGAAAUGAAACCCAAAUGCCUUUCAGCUUCUGAUGCUUCGUUACUCUCGAUUCUGGUGGUGGUUCCUACAGCAGCUUUCCAGAAGAAGUGCCAAAAGUCUGCAUAGAUGUUGCCAAGGCUGUGAACUCAAAACUUGUCUCACUGCUGUCGAGCUCGACUGGUAGGAGGAGGAGUUGUUGAAAACAGGUUAGAUUUAGGAUUCGUAUACUAGUCUUUAUCUCAUUACAAGUGAGAAGAGAUUUUGUUUAGCGAUGUGCGAAUGGUGUGGAUUCGAGUUAUAGUCUCACGUGAUCAUAGUUUAGGAGGGAAAGCUUUUGUGUUACGACGAUCUGUAGGUACUCUCCAUCUAUCGGCCUGCUUAAAAGGACCAUCGAAUGCUAAGGAUGUAUAUACCUGUGUUGGUCAUGCCACCAGCUUUGCCUUGUGCACAACAGCUUGAAGCUGAUGCCAGCGGAAGCUCCACUCCAACAACUUGUUGUUCAACAGGAGCUUGAAGAAUAUUAGCUUCAUCCGAGUCGUGAUUUCCCCGAAUCGGUGGCCGGGUUGCAAAGCUUCAUUCUCUGAGAUGAUGCAUCGUUGCAGAGAGCUUUCAUGAUUUAGGUAG
Molecule: non-coding RNA, 670 nt
Organism: Musa acuminata subsp. malaccensis (wild Malaysian banana)
Lineage: Eukaryota; Viridiplantae; Streptophyta; Magnoliopsida; Zingiberales; Musaceae
Source: RefSeq, a predicted model, not a curated record